ACGGGUACGGGGUGUUAGGGCACGACACCGGAGAGGGAGCCUGAGAAACGGCUACCACAUCCAAGGAUGGCAGCAGGCGCGCAAAUUACCCAAUCCCGACACGGGGAGGUAGUGACAAUAAAUAACAAUACGGGGUUCUUUAGGAUCUCGUAAUUGGAAUGAGUACAAUUUAAAUCUCUUAACGAGGAACAAUUGGAGGGCAAGUCUGGUGCCAGCAGCCGCGGUAAUUCCAGCUCCAAUAGCGUAUAUUAAAGUUGUUGCAGUUAAAAAGCUCGUAGUUGAAUUUCGGGGUUAGUAGGUUGGUCAUGCCUCUGGUAUGUACUGGUCUCACUGAUUCCUCCUUCCUGAUGAACCUUAAUGCCAUUAAUUUGGUGUUUUGGGGAAUUUGGACUGUUACUUUGAAAAAAUUAGAGUGUUUAAGGCAAGCUAACGCUUGAAUACAUUAGCAUGGAAUAAUGAAAUAGGACGUUCGAUCCUAUUUUGUUGGUUUCUAGGAUUGACGUAAUGAUUAAUAGGGAUAGUUGGGGGCAUUAGUAUUCAAUUGUCAGAGGUGAAAUUCUUGGAUUUAUUGAAGACCAACUACUGCGAAAGCAUUUGCCAAGGAUGUUUUCAUUAAUCRAGAACGAAAGUUAGGGGAUCGAAGACGAUCAGAUACCGUCGUAGUCUUAACCAUAAACUAUGCCGACUAGGGAUCGGAUGAUGUUAAUUUUUUAAUGACUCAUUCGGCGCCUUAC
RNAcentral lists this ribosomal RNA (734 nucleotides) under uncultured Rhizophagus. RNAcentral describes it as "SSU rRNA". It matches the Rfam family "Eukaryotic small subunit ribosomal RNA", at positions 357 to 1102 of the family's 1831-position model. Lineage: Eukaryota; Fungi; Glomeromycota; Glomeromycetes; Glomerales; Glomeraceae. The record is from RNAcentral.